UAUGUGUGCUCUUAUACUAUU
This 21-nucleotide non-coding RNA is filed under the name Arabidopsis thaliana (thale cress). The record is from RNAcentral. Lineage: Eukaryota; Viridiplantae; Streptophyta; Magnoliopsida; Brassicales; Brassicaceae.